This 88-nucleotide transfer RNA is filed under the name Tepidimonas thermarum. RNAcentral describes it as "tRNA-Ser". It matches the Rfam family "tRNA". Rfam says of the family: Transfer RNA (tRNA) molecules are approximately 80 nucleotides in length. Their secondary structure includes four short double-helical elements and three loops (D, anti-codon, and T loops). RNAcentral also lists the same sequence under 6 other names. The record is from RNAcentral. Lineage: Bacteria; Pseudomonadati; Pseudomonadota; Betaproteobacteria; Burkholderiales.
GGAAGGGUGGCAGAGUGGUCGAUUGCACCGGUCUUGAAAACCGGCGAUGGGCAACCAUCCGUGGGUUCGAAUCCCACCCCUUCCGCCA